This 1135-nucleotide ribosomal RNA is filed under the name Methanosarcina sp. RNAcentral's name for it is "bacterial SSU rRNA". It matches the Rfam family "Archaeal small subunit ribosomal RNA", at positions 168 to 1301 of the family's 1478-position model. The record is from RNAcentral. Lineage: Archaea; Methanobacteriati; Methanobacteriota; Methanomicrobia; Methanosarcinales; Methanosarcinaceae.
UGCUGGAAUGCUUUAUGCGUCAAAUGGAUUCGUCUGCCCAAGGAUGGGUCUGCGGCCUAUCAGGUAGUAGUGGGUGUAAUGUACCUACUAGCCGACAACGGGUACGGGUUGUGAGAGCAAGAGCCCGGAGAUGGAUUCUGAGACAUGAAUCCAGGCCCUACGGGGCGCAGCAGGCGCGAAAACUUUACAAUGCGGGAAACCGUGAUAAGGGGACACCGAGUGUCAGCAUCAUAUGCUGGCUGUCCAGGUGUGUAAAAUACACCUGUUAGCAAGGGCCGGGCAAGACCGGUGCCAGCCGCCGCGGUAACACCGGCGGCCCGAGUGGUGAUCGUGAUUAUUGGGUCUAAAGGGUCCGUAGCCGGUUUGGUCAGUCCUCCGGGAAAUCUGAUAGCUCAACUAUUAGGCUAUCGGGGGAUACUACCAGACUUGGAACCGGGAGAGGUAAGAGGUACUACAGGGGUAGGAGUGAAAUCUUGUAAUCCCUGUGGGACCACCUGUGGCGAAGGCGUCUUACCAGAACGGGUUCGACGGUGAGGGACGAAAGCUGGGGGCACGAACCGGAUUAGAUACCCGGGUAGUCCCAGCCGUAAACGAUGCUCGCUAGGUGUCAGGCAUGGCGCGACCGUGUCUGGUGCCGCAGGGAAGCCGUGAAGCGAGCCACCUGGGAAGUACGGCCGCAAGGCUGAAACUUAAAGGAAUUGGCGGGGGAGCACAACAACGGGUGGAGCCUGCGGUUUAAUUGGACUCAACGCCGGACAACUCACCGGGGGCGACAGCAAUAUGUAGGCCAAGCUGAAGACUUUGCCUGAAUCGCUGAGAGGAGGUGCAUGGCCGUCGCCAGUUCGUACUGUGAAGCAUCCUGUUAAGUCAGGCAACGAGCGAGACCCGUGCCCACUGUUACCAGCAUAUUCUCCGGAAUGAUGGGUACUCUGUGGGGACCGCCUAUGUUAAAUAGGAGGAAGGUGCGGGCCACGGUAGGUCAGUAUGCCCCGAAUCUCCCGGGCUACACGCGGGCUACAAUGGAUGGGACAAUGGGUCCCUCCCCCGAAAGGGGCUGGUAAUCUCACAAACCCAUUCGUAGUUCGGAUCGAGGGCUGUAACUCGCCCUCGUGAAGCUGGAAUCCGUAGUAAUCGC